Molecule: small RNA, 29 nt
Filed under: Bombyx mori (domestic silkworm)
Lineage: Eukaryota; Metazoa; Arthropoda; Insecta; Lepidoptera; Bombycidae
Description: ovarian small RNA-8825
Source: RNAcentral
UGGUAGCGCCAGACCAUCAGGUGGUCUAG